This 454-nucleotide ribosomal RNA is filed under the name uncultured bacterium. RNAcentral's name for it is "bacterial SSU rRNA". It matches the Rfam family "Bacterial small subunit ribosomal RNA", at positions 917 to 1382 of the family's 1533-position model. The record is from RNAcentral.
GGGCCCGCACAAGCAGCGGAGCGUGUGGUUUAAUUCGAUGAUACGCGAAGAACCUCACCCAGGUUUGACAUGCAUGUGGUACCAAUGUGAAAGCUGCGGGACCCUUCGGGGAGCAUGCACAGGUGUUGCACGGCCGUCGUCAGCUCGUGCCGUGAGGUGUUGGGUUAAGUCCCGCAACGAGCGCAACCCCUGUCGCCAGUUGUAUUUUUCUGGCGAGACUGCCGAGAAAACCUCGGAGGAAGGAGGGGACGAUGUCAGGUCAGCGUGGCCCUUACGCCUGGGGCUACACACACGCUACAAUGGGUGGUACAACGGGCAGCCAAGCCGCGAGGCGGAGCUAAUCCCAUCAAAGCCAUCCUCAGUUCGGAUUGCAGGCUGAAACUCGCCUGCAUGAAGCCGGAGUUGCUAGUAACCGCAGGUCAGCACUACUGCGGUGAAUACGUUCCCGGGCCUU